Molecule: ribosomal RNA, 497 nt
Filed under: uncultured bacterium
Lineage: Bacteria
Description: partial 16S ribosomal RNA
Rfam family: Bacterial small subunit ribosomal RNA
Source: RNAcentral
GAUGAACGCUGGCGGCGUGCCUAAUACAUGCAAGUCGAGCGAACAGACGAGGAGCUUGCUCCUCUGACGUUAGCGGCGGACGGGUGAGUAACACGUGGAUAACCUACCUAUAAGACUGGGAUAACUUCGGGAAACCGGAGCUAAUACCGGAUAAUAUAUUGAACCGCAUGGUUCAAUAGUGAAAGACGGUUUUGCUGUCACUUAUAGAUGGUUCCCCGCCUCAUUAGCUAGUUGGUAAGGUAACGGCUUACCAAGGCAACGAUGCGUAGCCGACCUGGGAGGGGGAAGCGCCCCACCGGAAGUGAACCCCGGUCCAGGGCCCUACGGGAGGCCGCAGUUGGGAAGCUUGCGCAAAGGGGGGAAGGCUGAAGGAGGCACGCCGGCGUGAUGAAGAGAGGCCUCGGGUCGGAAAACUCCUUUAUUAGGGAAGACCAAAUGUGUAAGUAACUAUGCACGUCUUGACGGUACCUAAUCAGAAAGCCACGGCUAACUACGUG